UAACAUAAUAAUAUAAAAACCUUAUAAACUUUCAAAAUUGUUCCUUAUGCAAUUUUAAAACAUAAAUUAUUAAUUAUAUAAUAGAGCUACUUCUCAGUAUCCAAACAUUUUCAAGACUACAAAUGGAAUCUUAUGUUUACACUAGUUAAGAAGCCACUUUAAGGAUUACCAAGGCUUGUCACAACACAUGUAUUGAUACACAGAGAGGAAAGGUAAAGGAGAAGGAAAGGACGUCAAUAACGAGUGUAAAGACAACAUAUCUUCCCAGGCAUUGUCAGCUGAAACAAGGAAAUCAUGGACCAUCUUCUUGAUGACAUUAAGCAUUCUAGGAAUAUCACUGUGAAUUCAUUGACACGGGGAUCACUCUCAAUACAAUAUUUAUAUGGUUGAAAUGAUCUAGCAGAGAUCUUUGCUGCAUUUGCUCAUGCCGAGAGAAUGACCAAUAUAACAGGAGUAACAACUCGGGUAUUGGCUGGUAUUAUUCACAUCUUCAUAUUCCAACCCUUCAUUCGCUUGUUAAUGUGUGAACUCAGGCUAUAUAUUGGAUUCUAGUAUUACUGGGGCUGAUAUUUUCAUAUUUCAAAGAUGAUACUCAAAUGUUCCAGAGGACUCAAAUCAUUGCAAUUCAGUCUUUAGAUGGGAAUCAGAAUCAUGUAUUGAGACUCCUGUCUCUUUCUCACCUCCAUUAAAAUCCUAUUAUAGAUAUUAAAUCAUCUUCAAGAUUCUCAAAGAAUGCAGUGACUAGAUCUGCCUUUGUUACGGGAGAAAGUACUAAAAAAGACACCGGUGAUUUGAGAACAACUAAGAUACCUUCUAGUGAAUGAGUAUGAUCACCCGACUUGAGAAUUCUUAUUGUCGAUGCCAGAAUAGGGACAGGUACCCAAAAAUCUUAAAAAAUUGGAUUCCCAAAUUAGAUUUGUGAAUACAUCAAAAAGUAUGCUAGAGCUUAGAAUCUAUACACGUCUUGAAUUUGAACAUGAGUGGAGCGAAAUUUGUUGGAAAGGAAUUUCCUCUCAAUGUUCGAUCGCCUUCAUCCCAAGUCUCGUCUCACCUUUCUGAAAAGUUGAGAGAUACCAAUAUUAACCAAGAUUCCAAAUCCAUAAUCAUAAAUUGAAAAGAAAGUGCAGGAAAUAUAAAUGAAUACAGAGAAUUUUUCAGCCAAAGCCCCAAAGGUUCAGCAACAACUUCUAACACCUAAUCCCCUGUUGAGCAUCCAUUAAAAAUGAUAAAGCUCGAUUGCACUAUAAAACCCCAAAAAUCAGGUAGCAAAUAUACAAUAUUGUUCCAGAAUAUUACAACAAAUUAGUCACAAAGACUUAUCUCAUAAUGUUGGGAAAACACUGGAAAUAUAAAUGAAUACAGAGAAUUUUUCAGCCAAAGCCCCAAAGGUUCAGCAACAACUUCUAACACCUAAUCCCCUGUUGAGCAUCCAUUAAAAAUGAUAAAGCUCGAUUGCACUAUAAAACCCCAAAAAUCAGGUAGCAAAUAUACAAUAUUGUUCCAGAAUAUUACAACAAAUUAGUCACAAA
This 1529-nucleotide long non-coding RNA is filed under the name Olea europaea (common olive). RNAcentral's name for it is "long non-coding RNA (OEUR_LNC010118)". The record is from RNAcentral. Lineage: Eukaryota; Viridiplantae; Streptophyta; Magnoliopsida; Lamiales; Oleaceae.